AGUCGUAACAAGGUAUCCGUAGGUGAACCUGCGGAUGGAUCAUUACCAAAGAAGUCCUUUGACGUCUUGUGAAUCGUAUUUUUUGUCAGUGCGGUUUUUUUCGCCCUUUGUUUUUCGAAGGGUUCGAAGGGUCGUGCUGGCUAUAUAAACAACAUACACGUAUACCCUUUAACCAGAGUCACUUUAGCCUAAAACUAAAGACAACUUUUAGCAACGGAUCUCUUGGCUCUC
Molecule: unclassified non-coding RNA, 231 nt
Filed under: fungal sp.
Lineage: Eukaryota; Fungi
Description: partial internal transcribed spacer region
Rfam family: Eukaryotic small subunit ribosomal RNA (bases 1-45)
Source: RNAcentral